RNAcentral lists this ribosomal RNA (140 nucleotides) under uncultured bacterium. RNAcentral describes it as "partial 16S ribosomal RNA". It matches the Rfam family "Bacterial small subunit ribosomal RNA", at positions 355 to 509 of the family's 1533-position model. The record is from RNAcentral.
UGGGGAAUAUUGCACAAUGGGGGAAACCCUGAUGCAGCGACGCCGCGUGGAGGAAGAAGGUCUUCGGAUUGUAAACUCCUGUCCGAGGGUAAGAAGAAAGUGACGUAACCCUUGGAGGAAGCACCGGCUAACUACGUGCC